Long non-coding RNA from Bombina bombina (fire-bellied toad), 187 nucleotides. RefSeq lists it as uncharacterized. NCBI's taxonomy places the organism in Eukaryota, Metazoa, Chordata, Amphibia, Anura, Bombinatoridae. The transcript is spliced from 2 exons. The record is from RefSeq and is a predicted model, not a curated record.
UGUUUACUAAGGACAAACUGCAUUUGUAUAUUAGGUAUGGUGUAUAUGAGCAUAUUUAUAUUAGGUAUGGUGUAUAUGAACAUAUUUAUAUUUUUCCACAGGGAUGCCAGUUUUAUAGCAAUUCAAUGCAAUCUCUAGGAUUUUAUUUGUAUCUUGCACUAUUCACAAAUAAAAUUUAGUAUCUGAA